RNAcentral lists this unclassified non-coding RNA (3715 nucleotides) under Daphnia pulex (common water flea). Its description in RNAcentral is "phenoloxidase subunit 1-like, transcript variant X2". Lineage: Eukaryota; Metazoa; Arthropoda; Branchiopoda; Diplostraca; Daphniidae. The record is from RNAcentral.
UCACGCCCAAGUUUAAAAGGUGGGCCAAGUCAAGCGCAGUUGAUUGAUUCUUAUUCCAAAGUCACCAUGUCGGAUUUGCAGCUCCGCCAACGCCAAAUUCUCAAUCUCUUCGAGCGGGUCGCUCAACCAUUCAGUCCUAAACCGGACAUUGUUUUUGAAUUGCCGGAAUUCGUCUUUUCACCUGAGGAUGUCGUUCCGCCAACCGGGUCAACUAGGCCAUCUCCCAGCCCACCUGCUGAUGUCUUGAAUAUCCCCGAAUUGGAGCUGGUUAAAACGGUUCCGCGUGGCAGGUUAUUUUCAUCUUUUCAUCCAGCGCACCGAGCAGCCGCCUACGCACUCGUUAGGAUCUUUAAGAAUGCUCCGACGGUGGCGGAUAUGCUGAAUUUAGCCGCCCAUCCAGACAUUCGUGAUCAAGUUAAUGAGCACAUUUUCGUGUUCGCCUUGUCAGCUGCCCUCAUUCAACGACAAGACUCUCGUUCCCUACGCACACCACCCAUCUGGGAAAUCUUUCCCGGGAAAUUUUUCGAAACGAGAGUCAGAAGUGAAGCGCAAACGACUGUCCAGCAGCAGCAACUCAAGCAGUCUUCCGUGACAAAACCCAUCAUUAUUGAUAAAAACUUUGCAGCAACAGACAGAGUUGUGGAGAAUAAGCUGUCAUACUUCCGGGAAGAUUUGGGUAUCAACAGUCAUCAUUGGCAUUGGCACUUGAUUUUUCCGGUGGAAGCGACGGCAGAUAUUGUCAAUCCGCCAGAUCGUCGUGGCGAGCUUUUUUAUUACAUGCACCAACAGAUUUUGGCUCGUUACGAUGCAGAGAGAAUAGCUAAUGGCUUGGCCAGAGUGACGUCAUAUCACGACUGGGAUCAGCCCAUUUUGGAAGCAUACUUUCCGAAACUGACGACUGCCAACGGUGCCAUUCACUGGGCAUCCCGACCGUCUGGGCUCGUUCUAAAGGACAUCAAUAUCCCCGACGAAGGGGUUGAACUCGGUAUCGAAUUUCACAUUGAUGAUCUACAACUAUGGCGCACCCGCAUCCUUCACGCUAUACACAAAGGCUCAGUGGUCAAGGGGAACGGCCAAGUCGUUCAUUUGGAUGAUAAAACGGGGACCAACACCUUAGGAGAACUUAUCGAGGCGUCACAAUGGUCUGCCGACAAGUUGUUUUACGGUGAUCUGCACAACUUUGGACACAUUGCAAUGUGUUACAUUCACGACCCAGACCGCAGCCACUCGGAAAAUAUGGGAGUUAUGGGCGAUUCGGUGACAGCCAUGCGAGACCCUUUGUUUUACCGAUGGCACAAGUUCAUUGACUCGCUUUUCCAGCAAUUCAAAGCCACUUUGAGUCCGUACAGCGCUCAGCAGUUGACCCUAGAAGGCAUCACGGUAAACAGCGUCGAAGUACACCGGAACCAGCCUCCCGCUCCAGGGUCAAUUCGCCAGAAAAACCUCAUUAUCACGGGCUGGCAAGAAAGUAUCGUCGAAUUAGAUCGAGGACUGGACUUUUCAAGUUCGACUCCGGUCCAAGCGCGGGUAACUCAUUUGCAGCACGAAGAUUUCUCCUAUCGAAUUCAAGUGACAAAUACGACCAAAACGAGUCAAGAUAUUGUGUUCCGCAUUUUCCUGGCUCCCAUUAAAGACCAUUCCGGGCGGCCUUUUUCGUUCAGGGAACAACGUCUUUUAAUGAUUGAGCUGGACAAAUUUGUUGCCAGGGUAACUCCCGGAGCUAAUGUAGUCAAGAGGAAAUCUGACGAUUCUUCAGUGACGAUCCCGUUCGAAAGAACUUUUAGGGACCUGGAAACAGCUGCUCCCGCAGUCCCUCUCGCUCCAGGAGGUGUCCCCACCAAUUUGCCGACCGACAAACGGACCAAUUUCUGUGGUUGCGGGUGGCCGGAUCAUUUUUUGGUGCCGCGGGGAGUGCCUAACCCAGGAAUGCCCUUCACGCUUUUCGUUAUGGCCACCAGCUGGAAAGAGGAUCGCGUUAAUGAGACUACUACUGCCACAGGCGACGACACUAAAAAGCUCUGCCGUAACGCAGCCUCUUAUUGCGGGAUAUUGGACGACAAGUAUCCGGACAAGAGGCCGAUGGGCUUUCCAUUUGAUCGCCCCCCUGAUAAAUCGAUAACCACAUUGGCCAAAUUCGUCGAAAAAUCGCCCAACAUCACGACGGCCGAAAUCCGAAUUCAGUUUGAAGAUCGAGUUAUACGCCGUUUUCCCCAAUAGCCUAUUAUUCGCAUGUCCACCAGUGUGCACUCUCCUACAUAAUAAUUAUUUCCGCAUUUUUUUUUCCUCGUUCGUAUAUUUCGCAGUAUAUAGCAAUAUAAUCUCUUAAGCAUUUGAUAGCACGAAAGCGAACAACAGAAUGGCUGAUUCUUGGAUUUCAUUUGUACCGCUGGAAGCGGAUGUUGUGGGACGUCCGUAAUUCCAUGGAAAAGAAUUUCAAGGUAAUAACAUUCUUCGCUUUGCUCGGAAAAGUCUUGAUCUUGUAAAGAUCAGAUUUCUUUUGCUAUUCAAUACGAGAGCUUAUAAGAUACAGUCGAGCAUUCUUUUCUUUAAGAACUGCCUCUUUUCUCAAGGCUAUGGAGUGUAUACCCACAUAACAAUCGGUGCUAAAUUGCUACACAUAAUACAUUCAUUUCAUUCCUUUUUUUUUCUCCUUCUUCCCGUUCCUUCCCGAUUCUCUUCAUUGCGCAGCGCUUUCCUUUUCCGGUAACUAGAAACGUAUACAAAUUAUAAAUACGGGAAUUACACGAGUCCGAAUCUCUCCAACGAGCAGCAGCCCCCUUGCUGUGUACGCAAUAAUAAAGGCUAUAAUCUCCAGAGAAUUAGAAAGAUAAAUAAUUUUUUUAAAAAGAUUUAAUCGUUUAUUAUUUAGAUUUGUCCCGUUUUUGGUCACGAUUACCGUAACGACAUCUAAGAAACGUUCAACGCACUUUUUUAGUAAAUAAUCGGUAGCCAUCUUGAAUUUGAAUAGCUCGAAAAUUUUCAGGUCGUUGACGUUGAGAGGAAAAAGUAAUUUGCCUAACUUGUUUUGUAUAAUUUUUAUUAUCCCGUGAGAAAUGUACGCGUUUGAAGUAUUAAUUUUGUUAUCUGUCAUGAGAUAUCAGUAUCUAUAAGGUCACAACGUCUACUCGUUUUAUCUUUUCAUUUGGCUGAUGGAUAGACCACGUCAAAUGAUGCGAGUUGGGUAAGAUUGCUCGUCAGCCAACACAGACCCGCUGGCGCAGUGCCCUCAUUUUUUAAGGAACUACAAACAGAACUCAUAUUGGCACAGUUUUGGGAGACUGACAUUUGAUGAUGCAGGUUAAUCAGCGAGGAUUGCCGGCCUACAUUUCCCUUUGGAACAACUACACACACAGAGGAAGUUGUGGCUUUAUCAAAUGUGGUCCACGAUAGAGUUUGCCUUAUCUCUCUCUUUGUUGAGAGGCCACAUCCAACCAUUUUUGUUGCACACACUUCAAGCCUGGUGUCGUGAAUAUUGAUUUCCAUCUAGGGGGAAAUCCAAAGAAAUAUCCUUACGAUUGCAUGAAAACAAUGUUGGGCUUAUUUGAUUUUCCCUGCAUGUGUUGACUGACUAAACAAUAACAGUGAUAAAGUAGUACGUCUGCCUAGAAUACCAAAUACACUCACCUUGUGAUGAAUGGAAUUAUAAAGAUAUAGUAACACCCAUUAAAAGUGUCAUAAAUUAACGUGGAAUGUAUAAAUACACGAUCAGAGAGUA